GAGUUUGAUCCUGGCUCAGGAUAAACGCUGGCGGCGCACAUAAGACAUGCAAGUCGAACGAACUUAAUACAUUCUUUUAGAUUGUAAGCGGUUAGUGGCGGACUGGUGAGUAACGCGUGAGUAACCUGCCUAUUAGAGGGGAAUAACAGUGAGAAAUCAUUGCUAAUACCGCAUAUGCUCACAGUAUCGCAUGAUACAGUGAGGAAAGGAGCAAUCCACUAAUAGAUGGACUCGCGUCUGGUUAGCUAGUUGGUGAGGUAGAAGCUUACCAAGGCGACGAUCAGUAGCCGGACUGAGAGGUUGAACGGCCACAUUGGGACUGAGAUACGGCCCAGACUCCUACGGGAGGCAGCAGUCGGGAAUAUUGCGCAAUGGAGGAAACUCUGACGCAGUGACGCCGCGUAUAGGAAGAAGGUUUUCGGAUUGUAAACUAUUGUCGUUAGGGAAGAAAAAAGACAGUACCUAAGGAGGAAGCCCCGGCUAACUAUGUGCCAGCAGCCGCGGUAAUACAUAGGGGGCAAGCGUUAUCCGGAAUUAUUGGGUGUAAAGG
Molecule: ribosomal RNA, 550 nt
Filed under: uncultured bacterium
Lineage: Bacteria
Description: bacterial SSU rRNA
Rfam family: Bacterial small subunit ribosomal RNA
Source: RNAcentral